RNAcentral lists this long non-coding RNA (533 nucleotides) under Crocodylus porosus (Australian saltwater crocodile). Its description in RNAcentral is "lncRNA (ENSCPRG00005013992.1)". Lineage: Eukaryota; Metazoa; Chordata; Crocodylia; Crocodylidae. The record is from RNAcentral.
CAGCCUCUUCUCUCUUUGCAACAGAAACAGUCUGGUUGGUAACAGGCAAACAUCCAGUAUUGUGGUUUAGGUGCCUGGACCAAAACAAGAGUAUCCCAGCUGCCUGCAGAGGGUUUAGAUUGAGAGUGUGGUUGGGGGUAGAAAGAUACCCACAGAGCUGCACCAAAGAAUAUUGCACAUUCAGGUCCUGGGAGGUCCCUCUUCAGAAUGCUCGUCUCAGCUUCUACCCUUGCCUUGGUGGUCUGUAAUUUAGUGGAAGGCUUAUACCUCAAAAUAAUGGAAAAAAGCAACAUUUUUCUUUCAUUGGACUCCAGCUAACAGUGGGACUACAACAAACUUGAAGAAACUAUCACUAGAGGCAGUCUCCAUGUGAAUAUGGCAAAAAUGCAUACCUUCUGUUCAGCAUUAUACACAGCUACAAAUAGUUAGUCUGGAACUUCUGAGAGUAGAUUGAUCUAUUUGUGAGCAAGAUUUUGAUUUAACUUGAAAUUCUGCAAGCCGAAGAAUAAAUUUAUCCUUCCUGUGAAGCUUCA